This 551-nucleotide ribosomal RNA is filed under the name Xenopus andrei (Andre's clawed frog). RNAcentral describes it as "partial 16S ribosomal RNA". It matches the Rfam family "Bacterial large subunit ribosomal RNA", at positions 1850 to 2597 of the family's 2925-position model. Lineage: Eukaryota; Metazoa; Chordata; Amphibia; Anura; Pipidae. The record is from RNAcentral.
AGGUCCAGCCUGCCCAGUGACUAUAUGUUCAACGGCCGCGGUAUUCUGACCGUGCAAAGGUAGCGUAAUCACUUGUCUUUUAAAUAAAGACUGGUAUGAAUGGCACCACGAAGGUUCAACUGUCUCCUGUAUCCAAUCCAUUAAACUGACCUCCCCGUGCAGAGGCGGGGAUAUAAUCAUAAGACGAGAAGACCCUAUGGAGCUUAAAACUAAGGGCAACUGCCAAACUAUUCUACCCGUAAGGAUAAAUUAUUAAACAAGCAGAAAUUGACCUAAAGUUUUCGGUUGGGGCGACCAUGGAGAAUAAAAAAUCCUCCUUGAAGAAUAGGGCUUACAACCCUUAACCAAGAACCACUAUUCUAAGUAACAAAAUUUAUGACUGCAAUUGAUCCAGUCCUACUGAUCAACGAACCAAGUUACCCUAGGGAUAACAGCGCAAUCCAUUUCAAAAGUUCUUAUCGACAAAUGGGUUUACGACCUCGAUGUUGGAUCAGGGCAUCCCAGUGGUGCAGCCGCUACUAAAGGUUCGUUUGUUCAACGAUUAAAGCCCU